Molecule: long non-coding RNA, 3736 nt
Organism: Alligator mississippiensis (American alligator)
Lineage: Eukaryota; Metazoa; Chordata; Crocodylia; Alligatoridae
Exons: 3
Source: RefSeq, a predicted model, not a curated record
AAAAAUAUAGUAAGAAAAAUUAUUUCAUUAGUAAAAUCUUUCUUCAUGUAAAAAGUCCUUUUCAGCCUUGAGGAUCCCAAAAGUAUUAGUAUAAUUAUAUAGAGUAUAUAAAGUAUAUAUAAUUAUGGUUUAUUGUGCACUUACGUUCACACUAAUUGUACUCACUAGCCACAUAAUUUAUCUGCUGAUCAUUUCUGCAAGGAUUAUGAAUAAACUCUGUGGGUGGGAUAUAGUUGCCAAUUUUCUUUUUAUAUUACACUGCACAGACAUGCAUGUGCCAAUUCAUAGAGCUCUGAAAGGCAGCCACUUCUGAAGUAAAGGAUUGUAGUUGUUUAACAGUAAGUGCACCACUGCACUAUUGUAUAGGAAGUAAAAAAUACUGAAUUCUAAUUGGAACUGAAGACAGAAUAUACUAGAGGUAGGCAAAAUGUAAUUACCCCAGCUGGAAAUUUGCCUAGUCAUUAGCAUUACCAGUCCAUAACUUGUGAAAAACACUAGAGAAUUUUUUAAUGGCUUUGGACUUGGAUCACACCUGAAAUGGACAUAAAGUUAUAUAAUUUCAUUUAUGCAUUUUUUUUAUACAACUACAAAAAAGAGCAUCUAUUCAAAUGCCUAUAUCUCUAAACAUAGUAUUGAUUCACUUACAACUCUUGUCUGUAAUACCUCUCUAUCCCCCGGGCUUCAAACAUUCGGUCACGUGCAGCCUUGGUCUGGGCGGCUGGUAGAGGGAGUUACGGUCUCCUGUAGGCCGGUGGGCAGCCGUUUAUCACCUGGGUGGCCUCCCCCAAUCUCACCUGCCACGACUUUGAGUGUUAUACCAGUGGGGGGGCCAACCACCCAGGGCUCUGCUGCAGCGGGGAGUCCGCCAGGCGGUCAGCCAUGGGGGUCCAACCUCCCUUACACCCCAACCUCAUGCCAACCUCCGGCGGGUCACCAGAUCUUCUCGGCCGUACCCCCGAUGAUGUUGUCUCCCUGGAACUUGAUGGCUUUCGUAGCCCUGUCACGUUCUAGGCCCUGCCUCCCGAGAUAACUAACUCAGGCAGCAGUAGGGCUUUGGAAAAUCACUCCCUCCUGUGUCCAAGCAGUCCCUGCUUGGGACUCUAAAUUUACUCUGCACUCAAAUAAAGAUGGAGGACCAAAGAAAAUACGAUACCACACUAUCCUGCCUGCGUCGCCUCGUCCUCCCUCUCAGCCCCUCCAAAAGGGGGAAACUAAAAAAAGGAAAACCCAACACAAACUAAGUGUGGAAGGACCUAUCCGGUCCUUUCCCCUGCCCUUCUGUUAGGGUAACAGAGCAACCUUAGCUCCCUAUGAUCCCGCUGGGGUUUGGCCCAUUGUAUGGUCAGUGUAGGCCGUGACUCUUCGCCCUGGGUCGUUUCGCCUCUCACUCCACCCCAUCUGGUAUGUGCCACUGCUAUCCUUCUCCACUGUUGGAAACGUCCAGCUUCCGGCAUCCUGCGGUAUUUCCCCACGUACCUGGCUACUUCUUACGUUAUGGGCUGACACCCAGCCUCUGGCCGUUCUGCUCCACAGCUCCCCUUGCUGCUCCCUUCUGUCUCCAGCCACAAAGGGAGCCUCCUUUGGUUCUCCCGUCUCUCUGCCAAUCCUGUCUUUGUCGGUGUGGAGAGCCUCUUUUGGCUCCCCUGUCUCCUCACCAUGCUGUUCCCCACUGGCGUAGAGAGCCCCUGCCAGCUCUCUCUCCCUUGGGGUAUCCCGGACAGCGUCCAGCGUCGGAGUCCUCCCCAACUCUGCUCCACUCCCCCUGCCAUCGCGGUCCAUCUUAUCCCUGCUGGCUGGUGAUUGCUGAUGAUGUCACCGGAUGGUUUCAGCUGGAUAAAGGCACAGCUUAUGACCCGCGCGGAUUUCCUUUCUUGCUCCAGCCGCACCGCGGGUCCUGCUGCUGAUAAGUAUUUUCUUUGAGUUAUUUUUGUAUCUUUUUCUCUUUUGACGCGUGCUCCCCACCUCAGGGAGUCCCCAUUCAAUGUUUGGGGUUCUUUCCCCCGCUCUCCCCCGGGACAACCUCAAAUCUCCUCAAAGACCUUGCAUCCAAAUACUGACCAAUAAUAAUUUUUGCCUAAAAGGAAGUCAGAAUUUAUGCAUAUUGUUUUUAGUUUCACAAUUUAUCUAAUUACUCAGGCGCUGAAAAAGUAGAUGGUUCGAAUGUCAAUUCAGUGUUGUCCAUUUACUUUUGUCUGUUUUUAUCACACUUUACUAUAGCUUACAGGAAUGUACCAGAGACAUAUAUUGAAAAUAUCUGGAAUCCAAGACCUCAUAUACCUUGUUCUCAUCUCGUGUGCAAGAAGGAUCAACACAGACUAGACAUAAAGGAAGUGAUCUAUAUAUAAAAAACACAGAAAAACUUCUCCUUUCUACUGUAAUUUAGAAAUUUUGUUUACAGGGUGAAAAAAUAAACAGCAGUAGAGGAAGAAUGGAAUCAUACCAGAAAGAAAAAGGCAAGCUUACCUUUUUGGAGCUUGGGUUGAGUCCCAGGAUUAAGGGUCUGCUGUUUCAUUGGUGGAGCCUGCCCACCAAUCCAGAAGCAGGACAAGGGAAGCAAUGCCCCGCCCUUUUCUGAAGGGAGGGGGCAAGGAGCAGCUGGACCUGAAUUGGAACUGCACCAGCCAGGUCCGGAGAACUUCGGGGGUGGAGCCCCUGAAGAGUAUAAAAGGGGAGCGUGUUCAGCAGGCUAGGGAGAUAUGACGAGGGAUGACAAGGAGAGAGGAGUUCCAGAGAUGACUGUCCUUGGGACCCUGCUUGAACUUCAGCGGUACGCAAAUCAGCGCGCAAGGAUCAGGCUCUAGGAGCUGCUCGAGGCGGCUUGAGCCUGCGAACCCAGUAAGCGGCUGGGCAGUUGGUGUGCAGAUCAGCACAUGGAGAGUUGGCCCUGGGAGAAGCUCACGGCUGCUCAGGCUUCACCUGGUGCGCAGGUCAGUGCACGGACAACUGUCUUGGAAGCAGCUCAUGGCUGCUGGCAUUAGCCUCAGCCCGAGGCCAAGUGACAGAAGCCCCACAGUGCAGCUCUACUUUUAACUAAAAGAGCUCUGGUGCCCAGAGCUGGGCCCGGGAAAGGGAAGAACCUCUGGUGUGAGACCAGGGAGACGGAGCCUGUGAAUGCUUGGCUACUGCGAUAGAGAGUGAGCCCUGGGUGCCCAGUGUAGGGUGCCAGGCCAUUGAGGAGAGCUGAAGGCACCGCUGGGGAGAGUCUCUUGCGGGAUCGGCUACCAGGGGACGAACCUUGACUUCUCCAGAGAGGAAGCGUCAGUUACUGGGCAAAUGGGCCCCGCAGUGGAGGCUGACAUGGGUGAGGAGGGUCUGCUGCCUUCACUCUCCAUUGCGGGAGGGGCAUGUCCACAUCCCAGGGCCCUAAAGGGGAUGGACUUCAGGGAAACCCCUCAGAGAGGUGCUGAGUGCGCUCCCUAUUUUGAGGUUGUCAUGUUAGGGGCUAUAUGGAUAGGGGGUUUAUAUGGUUUAUGUGUUUUAAUGUCUCACUGUGUAUAUCGGUAUUGUUAUGUGAAAAGGUUUAAUUAAAUAUUAUGGUUAAGUUACUUGGGUUAUAUAGGUUAAUAUCCCUAUCUGUUAAUUGUGUUGUAUAGGUUGUAAGUUAUUUGGUUCAUAUUUGGUAUUAUAUGUGAAUUGUGGAAUAUUAUAUAUAGUAUUGUGUGUUAAGCCUUGUAAAUAUUCUAUGUUUUAUAUUAAGCAUCUGUAUUGAUUCUUGUAAUAAAUUGUACAUAGUUAA